GUGACAAUCACAGGAGCCAAGGGAGGGUUCCUUACUCAAACCCUAACUUGCUUAAAUCCAAGAAAUUGAGAGGCCAAAUCAGUCCCAAAUCGAAAUCCAAGCUCGUAUUCAUGAACACCAAGUUGAAAGGAUCACAAGUUUGACGCGUAACAAGCUAGGUGGAAGCUUGGAGUGAAAGCGGGUCAAACAAGUCAAGCAUGGAAGAAAAGCGUAGCUCGGAUGCAAGGUAAGUGAAACUUACAUAAUUGUGUAGAUUACUUGUUCAUUCUAUACGUUAUAGAUGCAAUAAUGCUAAUAUUGAAAAUAUGGAUUUCCGACGUGAUUGAUACGAGUCGGAACAUAUAAAGAUGAUAAAAACCAUGUUUAUGGCAAAAAGGGGAUUCGGUAAUGAAAUCCGGGACAGGAUGGAUGUAUGAAUUAGAAGUCAAAAACCAUGUUUUUGAUUUAAUAGGCAACGUUGGGCAUAUAGGCCGAACGGGUCAAAUGGUGGUGAUAACACUAUUUGACAAUAUCGACUAAUGCGAUUGUCAAGUCUUGUGUUAACAGGAGCGAUUAGCGAUUCAGUUAAUUUCGCCCACACUAAGUGUGAUGAUAAAAGCAAGGUAUAAAUUGGGUCUAUAUGUUGACCCUAGCCAGGUACUUUGUGGAAGCCGGAAGACGAUCAAGCUCAACGAAGAACCGAACACGAUACAGUU
Long non-coding RNA from Helianthus annuus (common sunflower), 695 nucleotides. RefSeq lists it as uncharacterized. Lineage: Eukaryota; Viridiplantae; Streptophyta; Magnoliopsida; Asterales; Asteraceae. The transcript has 3 exons. The record is from RefSeq and is a predicted model, not a curated record.